UCAACGGAGAGUUUGAUCCUGGCUCAGGACGAACGCUGGCGGCGUGCUUAACACAUGCAAGUCGAACGAUGAAGCCCAGCUUGCUGGGUGGAUUAGUGGCGAACGGGUGAGUAACACGU
RNAcentral lists this ribosomal RNA (119 nucleotides) under Rhodococcus ruber. Its description in RNAcentral is "partial 16S ribosomal RNA". It matches the Rfam family "Bacterial small subunit ribosomal RNA", at positions 1 to 118 of the family's 1533-position model. Lineage: Bacteria; Bacillati; Actinomycetota; Actinomycetes; Mycobacteriales; Nocardiaceae. RNAcentral also lists the same sequence under 1 other name. The record is from RNAcentral.